UACAGAGGGUGCAAGCGUUAAUCGGAAUUACUGGGCGUAAAGCGUGCGUAGACGGUUAUGUAAGUCAGAUGUGAAAGCCCAGGGCUCAACCUUGGAAUUGCAUCGAGACUGCGUGGCUAGGGUGCGGAAGAGGGAAGCGGAAUUUCCGGUGUAGCGGUGAAAUGCGCAGAUAUCAGGAGGAACACCGGUGGACGAAGGCGGGUCUCUGGGCCGAUGACUGACGCUGGAGGAGCGAAAGCGUGGGGAGCGAACAGGA
This 256-nucleotide ribosomal RNA is filed under the name uncultured bacterium. RNAcentral's name for it is "partial 16S ribosomal RNA". It matches the Rfam family "Bacterial small subunit ribosomal RNA", at positions 524 to 777 of the family's 1533-position model. The record is from RNAcentral.